UCGUCGGGCUCGGUCUGCGGGUCUCGGGGUCUGCUGGUCUGGAUUGGUGCGCUGCACUCAAGGUCUGGAGGUCCCUCGGCUCCGUCGGCGGCCGCGGGCGGCCACUGAGGGGACGUGAGGGGACGAGCAGACGAGGGGAGGGGACUGAGGCCGCGAGGGCAGGUCAGGGGACGUCCGACGUCGGGACGAGCGGACGAGCCGACGCGACGAGCGGACCGAGCGGACGAGACGAAGAGGUCGGCCCGCGCCCCGCGGCGGCGCGGCCGAGACGAGGCCGGGACGAGGUAGGAGGUCAGGACGGCCGGAGAGGACGGAGGGCCAGAGGGGGCGCGUUGACGACGGGGCUGACAUCGGCCCUUUAUUUUCUACUUGUAUAAAAUAAGUAGCCACCGGCGUUACCUUCACAGAUGUGGGCGUUCACUAGUUCCCCGACGGACUCUCCCGACUUCAUGACGAUUACUAAACCAUGAGAAAAAAUAGUGCAUGACAAACAUCAAAAAUAGUGCAUAUCAUUCUGUGACAAAUCAACAUAGAAAUAUUCGUAACUCAAAUUUAAGAUUUAAAAACCACAUUAACUCGGUAUAAACUCCAUCGAUAUCGGACUACCUGCAAUUCAAAAGAGAGCGCGGCUUUUAAAAAAAACCCGGGCCCCGAACCAUCGUUCGCAACCUGUAUAUCGAUCCCCAACGAGUAGGGGGUAGCCUAUCUCCGAUUGAGAGCACCUACUACAAAAACUAGGGCCAACUUGGCCGGAAACGGGUUUCCACUCGGAACAGAAACUACCACCACCUCUCUGCCCAUUGGUUGCCGGCGAGCGGCAGCUUCAACGUCAACAAGAUCACGAAGGACCCCCAGAAACGUUCGUGGUUCCCCGUCACGAACCAUCGUGCUCGAUCGGCUCAUCCUACGGCCACUUCAGAUCCUUUUUACGUG
This 933-nucleotide ribosomal RNA is filed under the name Triticum aestivum (bread wheat). RNAcentral's name for it is "partial small subunit ribosomal RNA". The record is from RNAcentral. Lineage: Eukaryota; Viridiplantae; Streptophyta; Magnoliopsida; Poales; Poaceae.